ACUUAGACCACAAACUCUUUUGGAUUCGGGGAUAAUAGAUGUUUUUGCUGAUAUCUUGACCGAAUCUGAAAGAAGGAAGAAAAGUAAACCUGUCAAUUGGUAUCUUCCCGUGAUGUUUUCGAGUGCAGCACUCAAUAGUGAUGCAAGUUCCUUCCUUGACUUUGUUGAACGGCAAAAAUUGAGAGAGAACUUCAUGUUUGAUGACUUGAAAGAUUGUGAGAAGAUAUUUAUCCCUGUUCAUGUCAAAAAGGAUUCAUGCGGACAUUAUUAUUUAUAUAUUAUUCAUAUGAAGAAUCAAGAAAUUGAGAUAUGGGAUUCUCUAUGUGAUCAAUUUAUAGAUAAAGCUAAUCGUGACCAAACAACAC
Long non-coding RNA from Neltuma alba, 365 nucleotides. RefSeq lists it as uncharacterized. NCBI's taxonomy places the organism in Eukaryota, Viridiplantae, Streptophyta, Magnoliopsida, Fabales, Fabaceae. The transcript is spliced from 4 exons. The record is from RefSeq and is a predicted model, not a curated record.